RNAcentral lists this long non-coding RNA (384 nucleotides) under Capsella rubella. RNAcentral describes it as "long non-coding RNA (CRUB_LNC001667)". The record is from RNAcentral. Lineage: Eukaryota; Viridiplantae; Streptophyta; Magnoliopsida; Brassicales; Brassicaceae.
UAUUUCUAUUUUUUUUAAUACAUGGAUUUAUUGUAGUUUUGUUAUCCGAAGUAUAUGUUAUCUUCUUGUACCUGUCAUUUCAUGUCCAAAUAUUUGAAAUAAAUAGGAAAGUGUAAAUUAAACUUACCAAUUUAAAUUACAUGUCCCCGUAUCGUACUCGUAGUUUUAUAUUUGAAAGUUGAAAGUGAAUUUAACUCUAUGACCGUGUCUCAUAACAAUUAUAUCUAAUCAUGUUUUUUUUUUUAUGAGAAAUAAUUCAGAUAAUGUUUGUUUUCGAAUUAUAUGUUCCCGUAUCGUAUCCAUUCCUAUAAGUUUAUAUAUUUUUUAAAUAAAUAACACAAUUUACAUGUAACUAAAUAUAAUUUUAAUAUAUGUAAAAUUUCA